RNAcentral lists this ribosomal RNA (490 nucleotides) under uncultured bacterium. Its description in RNAcentral is "partial 16S ribosomal RNA". It matches the Rfam family "Bacterial small subunit ribosomal RNA", at positions 30 to 507 of the family's 1533-position model. The record is from RNAcentral.
AUUGAACGCUGGCGGCAGGCCUAACACAUGCAAGUCGAACGGUAACAGGAAACAGCUUGCUGUUUCGCUGACGAGUGGCGGACGGGUGAGUAAUGUCUGGGAAACUGCCUGAUGGAGGGGGAUAACUACUGGAAACGGUAGCUAAUACCGCAUAACGUCGCAAGACCAAAGAGGGGGACCUUCGGGCCUCUUGCCAUCGGAUGUGCCCAGAUGGGAUUAGCUUGUUGGUGGGGUAACGGCUCACCAAGGCGACGAUCCCUAGCUGGUCUGAGAGGAUGACCAGCCACACUGGAACUGAGACACGGUCCAGACUCCUACGGGAGGCAGCAGUGGGGAAUAUUGCACAAUGGGCGCAAGCCUGAUGCGGCCAUGCCGCGUGUAUGAAGAAGGCCUUCGGGUUGUAAAGUACUUUCAGCGGGGAGGAAGGGAGUAAAGUUAAUACCUUUGCUCAUUGACGUUACCCGCAGAAGAAGCACCGGCUAACUCCGUG